RNAcentral lists this ribosomal RNA (253 nucleotides) under uncultured bacterium. Its description in RNAcentral is "partial 16S ribosomal RNA". It matches the Rfam family "Bacterial small subunit ribosomal RNA", at positions 524 to 776 of the family's 1533-position model. The record is from RNAcentral.
UACGAAGGGUGCGAGCGUUAUUCGGAAUUAUUGGGCGUAAAGGGUUCGUAGGCGGGAUCGUAAGUCAAGUGUGAAAUCCCCGAGCUUAACUCGGGACGUGCAUUUGAAACUGUGAUUCUUGAGUCAUUGAGAGGGUGGUGGAAUUGUUGGUGUAGGAGUGACAUCCGUAGAGAUCAACAGGAACAUCAGAGGCGAAAGCGGCCACCUGGCAAUGUACUGACGCUGAGGAACGAAAGCGUGGGGAGCAAACAGG